Molecule: non-coding RNA, 73 nt
Organism: Paramuricea clavata
Lineage: Eukaryota; Metazoa; Cnidaria; Anthozoa; Malacalcyonacea; Plexauridae
Source: the annotation of a GenBank genome assembly
GACCGCGUAGCUCAGUUGGAAGAGCAUUGGGCUAGUAUUCCAAAGGUCGUAGGUUCGAAUCCCACAUUGGCCG